UCCCAGACUCCUACGGGAGGCAGCAGUAGGGAAUAUUGCACAAUGGGGGAAACCCUGAUGCAGCGACGCCGCGUGAGCGAAGAAGUACCUCGGUAUGUAAAGCUCUAUCAGCAGGGAAGAAGAUGACGGUACCUGACCAAGAAGCUCCGGCUAAAUACGUGCCAGCAGCCGCGGUAAUACGUAUGGAGCAAGCGUUAUCCGGAUUUACUGGGUGUAAAGGGAGCGUAGACGGUUAUGCAAGUCUGAAGUGAAAGCCCAAGGCUCAACCAUGGGACUGCUCUUGGAACUGCGCGGCUGGAGUGCAGGAGGGGCAGGCGGAAUUCCUGGUGUAGCGGUGAAAUGCGUAGAUAUCAGGAGGAACACCGGUGGCGAAGGCGGCCUGCUGGACUGCGACUGACGUUGAGGCCCGAAAGCGUGGGGAGCAAACAGGAUUAGAUACCCGGGUA
RNAcentral lists this ribosomal RNA (446 nucleotides) under uncultured bacterium. RNAcentral describes it as "partial 16S ribosomal RNA". It matches the Rfam family "Bacterial small subunit ribosomal RNA", at positions 329 to 792 of the family's 1533-position model. The record is from RNAcentral.